RNAcentral lists this ribosomal RNA (1090 nucleotides) under Bacteroides thetaiotaomicron. RNAcentral describes it as "bacterial SSU rRNA". It matches the Rfam family "Bacterial small subunit ribosomal RNA", at positions 180 to 1276 of the family's 1533-position model. Lineage: Bacteria; Pseudomonadati; Bacteroidota; Bacteroidia; Bacteroidales; Bacteroidaceae. The record is from RNAcentral.
AUUAGACCGCAUGGUCUUGUUAUUAAAGAAUUUCGGUUAUCGAUGGGGAUGCGUUCCAUUAGGCAGUUGGUGAGGUAACGGCUCACCAAACCUUCGAUGGAUAGGGGUUCUGAGAGGAAGGUCCCCCACAUUGGAACUGAGACACGGUCCAAACUCCUACGGGAGGCAGCAGUGAGGAAUAUUGGUCAAUGGGCGCAGGUCUGAACCAGCCAAGUAGCGUGAAGGAUGACUGCCCUAUGGGUUGUAAACUUCUUUUAUAUGGGAAUAAAGUUUUCCACGUGUGGAAUUUUGUAUGUACCAUAUGAAUAAGGAUCGGCUAACUCCGUGCCAGCAGCCGCGGUAAUACGGAGGAUCCGAGCGUUAUCCGGAUUUAUUGGGUUUAAAGGGAGCGUAGGUGGACAGUUAAGUCAGUUGUGAAAGUUUGCGGCUCAACCGUAAAAUUGCAGUUGAUACUGGCUGUCUUGAGUACAGUAGAGGUGGGCGGAAUUCGUGGUGUAGCGGUGAAAUGCUUAGAUAUCACGAAGAACUCCGAUUGCGAAGGCAGCUCACUGGACUGCAACUGACACUGAUGCUCGAAAGUGUGGGUAUCAAACAGGAUUAGAUACCCUGGUAGUCCACACAGUAAACGAUGAAUACUCGCUGUUUGCGAUAUACAGUAAGCGGCCAAGCGAAAGCAUUAAGUAUUCCACCUGGGGAGUACGCCGGCAACGGUGAAACUCAAAGGAAUUGACGGGGGCCCGCACAAGCGGAGGAACAUGUGGUUUAAUUCGAUGAUACGCGAGGAACCUUACCCGGGCUUAAAUUGCAUUUGAAUAUAUUGGAAACAGUAUAGCCGUAAGGCAAAUGUGAAGGUGCUGCAUGGUUGUCGUCAGCUCGUGCCGUGAGGUGUCGGCUUAAGUGCCAUAACGAGCGCAACCCUUAUCUUUAGUUACUAACAGGUCAUGCUGAGGACUCUAGAGAGACUGCCGUCGUAAGAUGUGAGGAAGGUGGGGAUGACGUCAAAUCAGCACGGCCCUUACGUCCGGGGCUACACACGUGUUACAAUGGGGGGUACAGAAGGCAGCUACCUGGUGACAGGAUGCUAAUCCCA